RNAcentral lists this long non-coding RNA (1690 nucleotides) under Volvox carteri. RNAcentral describes it as "long non-coding RNA (VCAR_LNC002407)". Lineage: Eukaryota; Viridiplantae; Chlorophyta; Chlorophyceae; Chlamydomonadales; Volvocaceae. The record is from RNAcentral.
ACGUCCUGGGUGUCCAUGAAGGUGGACACGGGAGAUCAUCCUCCUAUCGUGCAGAAUCCUUACCGUCUGUCACGAACGGAGAAAGCCGCCGUUGAUGCUGAGAUGCGGCAGAUGCUACAGGACGGGAUCAUUGAAUUGUCCAACAGUCCUUGGGUGUCUCCAGUAGUAGUCGUUCCCAAGAAAAACGGAGAACUCCGGCCCUGUGUAGAUAUGCGGAGGGUCAACGACGUCACUAAGGACAUCCGGUUUCCGAUAGGCCACAUCCAGGAUAUUUUGGAUAUUGCUGCACCUCCGGGUGGCGAGACUCGUUACUACUCCAGCCUGGACUUGAAGUCGGGCUACUGGCAAGUCCCGAUGGCGGACGAGGCUUCUAAGGAGCGUACGGCAUUUGCCACGCCCACAGCUCAGUAUCGAUAUGUACGAAUGCCCAUGGGUCUAAAGGGGGCAGCCGCCGUGUUCGCUACCCUGAUGCACAAGGUUCUGGGCCCACUACUAGAGGAUUCGCCUCCACCCCCUGCUUCAUCGGAUAGCCCACCGCGGGAACGGUGUGUAGUGGUUUAUCUGGAUGAUAUCCUUAUCUUCAGCCCAACACUACAAGAUCAUGUACGACAUCUUCAGCAAGUGUUCGACCUUCUCCGAAUGGCUGGUCUCAAGAUCGCAGCUAAGAAGUGCACGUUUGGCCAACAACGCGUGGUUUUCCUUGGUCAUCUACUUGACGGAGUACGUGGUGUCGUGGGACCUAACCCCACCAACGUCAUGAAAAUUGCAGAACUUCCGUCGCCAUCCAAUGUUCGCGAAGUACGAGCAUGGCUGGGAGCUGUUGGUUACUACCGGGAACUUAUCCCUGGCUUCGGCUUGAUUGCACAACCAUUGUAUGCGCUACUUAAGCAGGGGACACCCUGGUGCUGGGGUCCAAGAGAAGAAGACGCUUUUCAAGAGCUACGUAAUGCUUUGCUGGGGGAGCCUGUUCUCCGCGCACCUGGUUUCCGACGCCCGUUCUUGGUCCAAGUCGACUGGUGCCGCACUGCCGUCGCCGCGUGCCUGGCCCAGCAGGACAACAAAGGAUAUGAAUACGCCGUUCAGUUUGCUAGUAAGGCUAUGACUGGCCCACAGCUGAAUUACAGCGCGGCAGAUGGAGAGGCCUACGCUGCCUUAUGGGCAAUUAAACACUUUCACCCCUACUUGUACGGCACUCAUUUUGUACUCAUCACGGAUUCGAUGGCGGUUCGGUCUUUGCGGACUGCACGCGCUCGAGAUCUUCUGGGAAAGCUGGCUCGAUAUGCGCUCAAGCUUCAAGCCUACGACUUUUAAGUGAUGCAUAAGGCCGGACGCAAGAAUUCAAACGUGGAUGGUUUGAGCCGCUUGGGACAUCUGAUGGAGCCCCACCGUAAUUUGCCUACAGAGAUCGACCCCAGUCCGGACCCACUUGAGGAUGCCGCCAUCUUGGCAUGCUCAAUUGCAGCCGUCGCCUCCGAGGUUCAGAUCCUCAUAACUGAACAGGAAGAGGAGUGUAGCCGCGGCAUCAGACCGGAUGAGCCGUCCACAGUGGCUGUACACCAGCCUCCGGCUCUAUCGUUGCCUACACCAGAGCACAACCCCUUGCGUGAAGCAACCAGACCCCUGGUCCCGCUUGGCAAGCGACGCUUGGAUAGGUCAGCUCGUCUGACAUCUGGAGCACCAGAUGAGACAC